AUCGAUUCUUCGUGUUUAGUCAACUCAAUAAAGGGAUUUGUUGGGUUUUGAACCAACUCAAGAUGCAAGAGGAAAGGAGGAGUCCAAUGGACUCGAAUCGAGGGAGUUCAUGCAAAACAAAAAUGAUAAGAAUUAGAAUGGCUAAUUAAUGAACUUGAUUAAAUAACCAAGAACCAUUGAAACACAAGGGGUGACAAUAAAUUUAAAGCAAGUUGCGGUGACAAUAUUGCAAAGAUGUCACAUGUUAGCAAUACAUAAACAAGGAGACAAACACACUGCCACUCAUAUUUGUGAAAAUAGAAUCACUGCUAGAAGACAAACCUUAGCACAAUAACUUUAAUUAUCCUAGAUUAGCUACCACAUCCAUAACUAGACAUUACAAUUUCAAAGAUCGGAAAUUGGCCAGUGAACAUUACAAUCAAGCAUGUACUGAUUUAAACAAAGAAAAAAAAAACAAAUAACGCCAAACUUGAAAUCUCAUGGAAUUCAACAUAGUAUCACACAAUCACUUGUUAAAAAAAAUAAAUGCAACUACUUAGUAUUAAAUCAUAAAACUGUACUCCAGUGAGUUCAACCAACUUGUAUGAAUGCUUGAGUUUACAAGGUCUUCUAGGAUAUAUUACAAAAGAUAAGUAAAUUCAAAGUUUAAGCUCAAAACACAAUAAC
RNAcentral lists this long non-coding RNA (666 nucleotides) under Solanum tuberosum (potato). RNAcentral's name for it is "long non-coding RNA (STUB_LNC000431)". Lineage: Eukaryota; Viridiplantae; Streptophyta; Magnoliopsida; Solanales; Solanaceae. The record is from RNAcentral.